GAUAAACGCUGGCGGCGUGCUUAACACAUGCCAGUCGAACGAAGUUUUUCUUUCGGGAGGAACUUAGUGGCGGACGGGUGAGUAACGCGUGGGUAACCUGCCCUGUACAGGGGGACAACAGCUGGAAACGGCUGCUAAUACCGCAUAAGCCCUUAGCACUGCAUGGUGCAUAGGGAAAAGGAGCAAUCCGGUACAGGAUGGACCCGCGUCUGAUUAGCCAGUUGGCAGGGUAACGGCCUACCAAAGCGACGAUCAGUAGCCGAUCUGAGAGGAUGUACGGCCACAUUGGGACUGAGACACGGCCCAGACUCCUACGGGAGGCAGCAGUGGGGAAUAUUGCACAAUGGAGGAAACUCUGAUGCAGCGACGCCGCGUGAGUGAAGAAGUAUUUCGGUAUGUAAAGCUCUAUCAGCAGGAAAGAAAAUGACGGUACCUGACUAAGAAGCACCGGCUAAAUACGUG
RNAcentral lists this ribosomal RNA (462 nucleotides) under uncultured bacterium. Its description in RNAcentral is "partial 16S ribosomal RNA". It matches the Rfam family "Bacterial small subunit ribosomal RNA", at positions 28 to 507 of the family's 1533-position model. The record is from RNAcentral.